Molecule: ribosomal RNA, 690 nt
Filed under: Salmonella enterica subsp. enterica serovar Infantis
Lineage: Bacteria; Pseudomonadati; Pseudomonadota; Gammaproteobacteria; Enterobacterales; Enterobacteriaceae
Description: partial 23S ribosomal RNA
Source: RNAcentral
UGCUGGAGGUAUCAGAAGUGCGAAUGCUGACAUAAGUAACGAUAAAGCGGGUGAAAAGCCCGCUCGCCGGAAGACCAAGGGUUCCUGUCCAACGUUAAUCGGGGCAGGGUGAGUCGACCCCUAAGGCGAGGCCGAAAGGCGUAGUCGAUGGGAAACGGGUUAAUAUUCCCGUACUUGGUGUUACUGCGAAGGGGGGACGGAGAAGGCUAUGUUGGCCGGGCGACGGUUGUCCCGGUUUAAGCGUGUAGGCUGGUUUUCCAGGCAAAUCCGGAAAAUCAAGGCUGAGGCGUGAUGACGAGGCACUACGGUGCUGAAGCAACAAAUGCCCUGCUUCCAGGAAAAGCCUCUAAGCAUCAGGUAACAUCAAAUCGUACCCCAAACCGACACAGGUGGUCAGGUAGAGAAUACCAAGGCGCUUGAGAGAACUCGGGUGAAGGAACUAGGCAAAAUGGUGCCGUAACUUCGGGAGAAGGCACGCUGACACGUAGGUGAAGUGAUUUACUCAYGGAGCUGAAGUCAGUCGAAGAUACCAGCUGGCUGCAACUGUUUAUUAAAAACACAGCACUGUGCAAACACGAAAGUGGACGUAUACGGUGUGACGCCUGCCCGGUGCCGGAAGGUUAAUUGAUGGGGUCAGCGCAAGCGAAGCUCCUGAUCGAAGCCCCGGUAAACGGCGGCCGUAACUAUAAC